Molecule: ribosomal RNA, 253 nt
Filed under: uncultured Gardnerella sp.
Lineage: Bacteria; Bacillati; Actinomycetota; Actinomycetes; Bifidobacteriales; Bifidobacteriaceae
Description: partial 16S ribosomal RNA
Rfam family: Bacterial small subunit ribosomal RNA
Source: RNAcentral
CGGGUAGAGUAAUGCGUGACCAACCUGCCCCAUGCUCCAGAAUAGCUCUUGGAAACGGGUGGUAAUGCUGGAUGCUCCAACUUGACGCAUGUCUUGUUGGGAAAGUGUUUAGUGGCAUGGGAUGGGGUCGCGUCCUAUCAGCUUGUAGGCGGGGUAAUGGCCCACCUAGGCUUCGACGGGUAGCCGGCCUGAGAGGGCGGACGGCCACAUUGGGACUGAGAUACGGCCCAGACUCCUACGGGAGGCAGCAGUC